Non-coding RNA from Vibrio mangrovi, 111 nucleotides. The record is from Rfam. NCBI's taxonomy places the organism in Bacteria, Pseudomonadati, Pseudomonadota, Gammaproteobacteria, Vibrionales, Vibrionaceae.
UAAUUGAAGAGUUUGAUCAUGGCUCAGAUUGAACGCUGGCGGCAGGCCUAACACAUGCAAGUCGAGCGGAAACGAGAGAAAGCUUGCUUUCUCGGCGUCGAGCGGCGGACG